This 253-nucleotide ribosomal RNA is filed under the name uncultured bacterium. RNAcentral describes it as "partial 16S ribosomal RNA". It matches the Rfam family "Bacterial small subunit ribosomal RNA", at positions 524 to 776 of the family's 1533-position model. The record is from RNAcentral.
UACGAAGGGGGCUAGCGUUGUUCGGAUUUACUGGGCGUAAAGCGCACGUAGGCGGAUCUUUAAGUCAGAGGUGAAAUCCCAAGGCUCAACCUUGGAACUGCCUUUGAUACUGGGGAUCUUGAGUCCGGGAGAGGUGAGUGGAACUGCGAGUGUAGAGGUGAAAUUCGUAGAUAUUGGGAAGAACACCGAUGGCGAAGGCAGCCAUCUGGACCGACACUGACGCUGAGGCGCGAAAGCGUGGGGAGCAAACAGG